ACGUACACUCCUGCGGGAAGGCAGCAGUGGGGAAUAUUGGACAAUGGGCGCAAGCCUGAUCCAGCCAUGCCGCGUGAGUGAUGAAGGCCCUAGGGUUGUAAAGCUCUUUCACCGGUGAAGAUAAUGACGGUAACCGGAGAAGAAGCCCCGGCUAACUUCGUGCCAGCAGCCGCGGUAAUACGAAGGGGGCUAGCGUUGUUCGGAUUUACUGGGCGUAAAGCGCACGUAGGCGGACUAUUAAGUCAGGGGUGAAAUCCCGGGGCUCAACCCCGGAACUGCCUUUGAUACUGGUAGUCUUGAGUUCGAGAGAGGUGAGUGGAAUUCCGAGUGUAGAGGUGAAAUUCGUAGAUAUUCGGAGGAACACCAGUGGCGAAGGCGGCUCACUGGCUCGAUACUGACGCUGAGGUGCGAAAGCGUGGGGAGCAAACAGGAUUAGAAACCCUAGUAGUCCCA
Molecule: ribosomal RNA, 453 nt
Filed under: uncultured organism
Description: partial 16S ribosomal RNA
Rfam family: Bacterial small subunit ribosomal RNA
Source: RNAcentral